Molecule: ribosomal RNA, 253 nt
Filed under: uncultured bacterium
Lineage: Bacteria
Description: partial 16S ribosomal RNA
Rfam family: Bacterial small subunit ribosomal RNA
Source: RNAcentral
UACGUAGGGGGCAAGCGUUGUCCGGAUUUAUUGGGCGUAAAGAGCGUGUAGGCGGCUAGAUAGGUCCGUUGUGAAAACUCGAGGCUCAACCUCGAGACGUCGAUGGAAACCAUCUAGCUAGAGUCCGGAAGAGGAGAGUGGAAUUCCUGGUGUAGCGGUGAAAUGCGCAGAGAUCGGGAGGAACACCCGUAGCGAAGGCGGCACUCUGGGCCGGUACUGACGCUGAGGAGCGAAAGCGUGGGGAGCAAACAGG